ACAAUGAAGAGUUUGAUCCUGGCUCAGGAUGAACGCUAGCUACAGGCUUAACACAUGCAAGUCGAGGGGCAUCAGGAAGAAAGCUUGCUUUCUUUGCUGGCGACCGGCGCACGGGUGAGUAACACGUAUCCAACCUGCCCUUUACUCGGGGAUAGCCUUUCGAAAGAAAGAUUAAUACCCGAUAGUAUAAUGAUUCCGCAUGGUUUCAUUAUUAAAGGAUUCCGGUAAAGGAUGGGGAUGCGUUCCAUUAGGUUGUUGGUGAGGUAACGGCCCACCAAGCCUUCGAUGGAUAGGGGUUCUGAGAGGAAGGUCCCCCACAUUGGAACUGAGACACGGUCCAAACUCCUACGGGAGGCAGCAGUGAGGAAUAUUGGUCAAUGGGCGCUAGCCUGAACCAGCCAAGUAGCGUGAAGGAUGAAGGCUCUAUGGGUCGUAAACUUCUUUUAUAUAAGAAUAAAGUGCAGUAUGUAUACUGUUUUGUAUGUAUUAUAUGAAUAAGGAUCGGCUAACUCCGUGCCAGCAGCCGCGGUAAUACGGAGGAUCCGAGCGUUAUCCGGAUUUAUUGGGUUUAAAGGGAGCGUAGGUGGACUGGUAAGUCAGUUGUGAAAGUUUGCGGCUCAACCGUAAAAUUGCAGUUGAUACUGUCAGUCUUGAGUACAGUAGAGGUGGGCGGAAUUCGUGGUGUAGCGGUGAAAUGCUUAGAUAUCACGAAGAACUCCGAUUGCGAAGGCAGCUCACUGGACUGCAACUGACACUGAUGCUCGAAAGUGUGGGUAUCAAACAGGAUUAGAUACCCUGGUAGUCCACACAGUAAACGAUGAAUACUCGCUGUUUGCGAUAUACAGUAAGCGGCCAAGCGAAAGCAUUAAGUAUUCCACCUGGGGAGUACGCCGGCAACGGUGAAACUCAAAGGAAUUGACGGGGGCCCGCACAAGCGGAGGAACAUGUGGUUUAAUUCGAUGAUACGCGAGGAACCUUACCCGGGCUUAAAUUGCAGUGGAAUGAUGUGGAAACAUGUCAGUGAGCAAUCACCGCUGUGAAGGUGCUGCAUGGUUGUCGUCAGCUCGUGCCGUGAGGUGUCGGCUUAAGUGCCAUAACGAGCGCAACCCUUAUCUUUAGUUACUAACAGGUUAUGCUGAGGACUCUAGAGAGACUGCCGUCGUAAGAUGUGAGGAAGGUGGGGAUGACGUCAAAUCAGCACGGCCCUUACGUCCGGGGCUACACACGUGUUACAAUGGGGGGUACAGAAGGCAGCUAGCGGGUGACCGUAUGCUAAUCCCAAAAUCCUCUCUCAGUUCGGAUCGAAGUCUGCAACCCGACUUCGUGAAGCUGGAUUCGCUAGUAAUCGCGCAUCAGCCACGGCGCGGUGAAUACGUUCCCGGGCCUUGUACACACCGCCCGUCAAGCCAUGGGAGCCGGGGGUACCUGAAGUACGUAACCGCAAGGAUCGUCCUAGGGUAAAACUGGUGACUGGGGCUAAGUCGUAACAAGGUAGCCGUACCGGAAGGUGCGGCUGGAACACCUCCUUU
Molecule: ribosomal RNA, 1529 nt
Filed under: Bacteroides fragilis
Lineage: Bacteria; Pseudomonadati; Bacteroidota; Bacteroidia; Bacteroidales; Bacteroidaceae
Description: bacterial SSU rRNA
Rfam family: Bacterial small subunit ribosomal RNA
Source: RNAcentral